CCUACGGGUGGCAGCAGUGAGGAAUAUUGGUCAAUGGGCGUAAGCCUGAACCAGCCAAGUCGCGUGAGGGAUGAAGGUUCUAUGGAUCGUAAACCUCUUUUAUCAGGGAAUAAAGUGUGGGACGUGUCCUGUUUUGUAUGUACCUUAUGAAUAAGGAUCGGCUAACUCCGUGCCAGCAGCCGCGGUAAUACGGAGGAUCCGAGCGUUAUCCGGAUUUAUUGGGUUUAAAGUGUGCGUAGGCGGCCUGUUAAGUCAGCGGUGAAAGUCUGUGGCUCAACCAUAGAAUUGCCGUUGAAACUGGGAGGCUUGAGUAUGUUUGAGGCAGGCGGAAUGCGUGGUGUAGCGGUGAAAUGCUUAGAUAGCACGCAGAACCCCGAUUGCGAAGGCAGCCUGCCAAGCCAUGACUGACGCUGAUGCACGAAAGCGUGGGGAUCAAACAGGAUUAGAUACCCCAGUAGUC
This 460-nucleotide ribosomal RNA is filed under the name uncultured bacterium. RNAcentral's name for it is "partial 16S ribosomal RNA". It matches the Rfam family "Bacterial small subunit ribosomal RNA", at positions 338 to 795 of the family's 1533-position model. The record is from RNAcentral.